This 537-nucleotide ribosomal RNA is filed under the name soil bacterium b4. RNAcentral's name for it is "bacterial SSU rRNA". It matches the Rfam family "Bacterial small subunit ribosomal RNA", at positions 324 to 871 of the family's 1533-position model. The record is from RNAcentral.
ACACGGCCCAGACUCCUACGGGAGGCAGCAGUGGGGCAUAUUGCACAAUGGGCGAAAGCCUGAUGCAGCGACGCCGCGUGAGGGAUGACGGCCUUCGGGUUGUAAACCUCUUUCAGCAGGGACGAAGCGCAAGUGACGGUACCUGCAGUAGAAGCACCGGCUAACUACGUGCCAGCAGCCGCGGUAAUACGUAGGGUGCAAGCGUUGUCCGGAAUUACUGGGCGUAAAGAGUUCGUAGGCGGUUUGUCGCGUCGUUUGUGAAAACCAGCAGCUCAACUGCUGGCUUGCAGGCGAUACGGGCAGACUUGAGUACUGCAGGGGAGACUGGAAUUCCUGGUGUAGCGGUGAAAUGCGCAGAUAUCAGGAGGAACACCGGUGGCGAAGGCGGGUCUCUGGGCAGUAACUGACGCUGAGGAACGAAAGCGUGGGUAGCGAACAGGAUUAGAUACCCUGGUAGUCCACGCCGUAAACGGUGGGCGCUAGGUGUGGGUUCCUUUCUCACGGAAUCCGUUCCGAUGCUACGCUAUAAGCGUCCCG